Molecule: ribosomal RNA, 253 nt
Filed under: uncultured bacterium
Lineage: Bacteria
Description: partial 16S ribosomal RNA
Rfam family: Bacterial small subunit ribosomal RNA
Source: RNAcentral
UACGUAGGCAGCAAGCGUUGUUCGGAGUUACUGAGCGUAAAGGGUGCGUAGGCGGCCCUGUAAGUAUGGUGUGAAAUCUCCCGGCUUAACUGGGAGGGUGCGCUAUAGACUGCGGGGCUCGAGUGUGGGAGAGGAAAGUGGAAUUCCUGGUGUAGCGGUGAAAUGCGUAGAUAUCAGGAGGAACACCGGUGGUGUAAACGGCUUUCUGGACCAUAACUGACGCUGAGGCACGAAAGCGUGGGUAGCAAACAGG